GUAAAAAGUAGAAUAAUAGAUUUGAAAUAUUUAUUAUAUAGAUUUAAAGAGAUAAUCAUGGAGUAUAAUAAUUAAAUUUAAUAAAUUUAAUAUAACUAUUAAUAGAAUUAGGUUACUAAUAAAUUAAUAACAAUUAAUUUUAAAACCUAAAGGUAAACCUUUAUAUUAAUAAUGUUAUUUUUUAUUAUAUUUAUAAUAAGAAUAAUUAUUAAUAAUAAUAAACUAAGUGAACUGAAACAUCUAAGUAACUUAAGGAUAAGAAAUCAACAGAGAUAUUAUGAGUAUUGGUGAGAGAAAAUAAUAAAGGUCUAAUAAGUAUUAUGUGAAAAAAAUGUAAGAAAAUAGGAUAACAAAUUCUAAGACUAAAUACUAUUAAUAAGUAUAGUAAGUACCGUAAGGGAAAGUAUGAAAAUGAUUAUUUUAUAAGCAAUCAUGAAUAUAUUAUAUUAUAUUAAUGAUGUACCUUUUGUAUAAUGGGUCAGCAAGUAAUUAAUAUUAGUAAAACAAUAAGUUAUAAAUAAAUAGAAUAAUAUAUAUAUAUAAAAAAAUAUAUUAAAAUAUUUAAUUAAUAUUAAUUGACCCGAAAGCAAACGAUCUAACUAUGAUAAGAUGGAUAAACGAUCGAACAGGUUGAUGUUGCAAUAUCAUCUGAUUAAUUGUGGUUAGUAGUGAAAGACAAAUCUGGUUUGCAGAUAGCUGGUUUUCUAUGAAAUAUAUGUAAGUAUAGCCUUUAUAAAUAAUAAUUAUUAUAUAAUAUUAUAUUAAUAUUAUAUAAAGAAUGGUACAGCAAUUAAUAUAUAUUAGGGAACUAUUAAAGUUUUAUUAAUAAUAUUAAAUCUCGAAAUAUUUAAUUAUAUAUAAUAAAGAGUCAGAUUAUGUGCGAUAAGGUAAAUAAUCUAAAGGGAAACAGCCCAGAUUAAGAUAUAAAGUUCCUAAUAAAUAAUAAGUGAAAUAAAUAUUAAAAUAUUAUAAUAUAAUCAGUUAAUGGGUUUGACAAUAACCAUUUUUUAAUGAACAUGUAACAAUGCACUGAUUUAUAAUAAAUAAAAAAAAUAAUAUUUAAAAUCAAAUAUAUAUAUAUUUGUUAAUAGAUAAUAUACGGAUCUUAAUAAUAAGAAUUAUUUAAUUCCUAAUAUGGAAUAUUAUAUUUUUAUAAUAAAAAUAUAAAUACUGAAUAUCUAAAUAUUAUUAUUACUUUUUUUUUAAUAAUAAUAAUAUGGUAAUAGAACAUUUAAUGAUAAUAUAUAUUAGUUAUUAAUUAAUAUAUGUAUUAAUUAAAUAGAGAAUGCUGACAUGAGUAACGAAAAAAAGGUAUAAACCUUUUCACCUAAAACAUAAGGUUUAACUAUAAAAGUACGGCCCCUAAUUAAAUUAAUAAGAAUAUAAAUAUAUUUAAGAUGGGAUAAUCUAUAUUAAUAAAAAUUUAUCUUAAAAUAUAUAUAUUAUUAAUAAUUAUAUUAAUAAUAUAUAUAAUUAUAUUAUAUAUUUUUUUUAUAUAAUAUAAACUAAUAAAGAUCAGGAAAUAAUUAAUGUAUACCGUAAUGUAGACCGACUCAGGUAUGUAAGUAGAGAAUAUGAAGGUGAAUUAGAUAAUUAAAGGGAAGGAACUCGGCAAAGAUAGCUCAUAAGUUAGUCAAUAAAGAGUAAUAAGAACAAAGUUGUACAACUGUUUACUAAAAACACCGCACUUUGCAGAAACGAUAAGUUUAAGUAUAAGGUGUGAACUCUGCUCCAUGCUUAAUAUAUAAAUAAAAUUAUUUAACGAUAAUUUUAUUAAAUUUAGGUAAAUAGCAGCCUUAUUAUGAGGGUUAUAAUGUAGCGAAAUUCCUUGGCCUAUAAUUGAGGUCCCGCAUGAAUGACGUAAUGAUACAACAACUGUCUCCCCUUUAAGCUAAGUGAAAUUGAAAUCGUAGUGAAGAUGCUAUGUACCUUCAGCAAGACGGAAAGACCCUAUGCAGCUUUACUGUAAUUAGAUAGAUCGAAUUAUUGUUUAUUAUAUUCAGCAUAUUAAGUAAUCCUAUUAUUAGGUAAUCGUUUAGAUAUUAAUGAGAUACUUAUUAUAAUAUAAUGAUAAUUCUAAUCUUAUAAAUAAUUAUUAUUAUUAUUAUUAUUAAUAAUAAUAAUAUGCUUUCAAGCAUAGUGAUAAAACAUAUUUAUAUGAUAAUCACUUUACUUAAUAGAUAUAAUUCUUAAGUAAUAUAUAAUAUAUAUUAUAUAUAUAUUAUAUAUAAUAUAAGAGACAAUCUCUAAUUGGUAGUUUUGAUGGGGCGUCAUUAUCAGCAAAAGUAUCUGAAUAAGUCCAUAAAUAAAUAUAUAAAAUUAUUGAAUAAAAAAAUAAUAUAUAUUAUAUAUAUUAAUUAUAAAUUGAAAUAUGUUUAUAUAAAUUUAUAUUUAUUGAAUAUAUUUUAGUAAUAGAUAAAAAUAUGUACAGUAAAAUUGUAAGGAAAACAAUAAUAACUUUCUCCUCUCUCGGUGGGGGUUCACACCUAUUUUUAAUAGGUGUGAACCCCUCUUCGGGGUUCCGGUUCCCUUUCGGGUCCCGGAACUUAAAUAAAAAUGGAAAGAAUUAAAUUAAUAUAAUGGUAUAACUGUGCGAUAAUUGUAACACAAACGAGUGAAACAAGUACGUAAGUAUGGCAUAAUGAACAAAUAACACUGAUUGUAAAGGUUAUUGAUAACGAAUAAAAGUUACGCUAGGGAUAACAGGGUAAUAUAGCGAAAGAGUAGAUAUUGUAAGCUAUGUUUGCCACCUCGAUGUCGACUCAACAUUUCCUCUUGGUUGUAAAAGCUAAGAAGGGUUUGACUGUUCGUCAAUUAAAAUGUUACGUGAGUUGGGUUAAAUACGAUGUGAAUCAGUAUGGUUCCUAUCUGCUGAAGGAAAUAUUAUCAAAUUAAAUCUCAUUAUUAGUACGCAAGGACCAUAAUGAAUCAACCCAUGGUGUAUCUAUUGAUAAUAAUAUAAUAUAUUUAAUAAAAAUAAUACUUUAUUAAUAUAUUAUCUAUAUUAGUUUAUAUUUUAAUUAUAUAUUAUCAUAGUAGAUAAGCUAAGUUGAUAAUAAAUAAAUAUUGAAUACAUAUUAAAUAUGAAGUUGUUUUAAUAAGAUAAUUAAUCUGAUAAUUUUAUACUAAAAUUAAUAAUUAUAGGUUUUAUAUAUUAUUUAUAAAUAUAAUAUAAUAAUUAUUAUUAUUAAUAAAAAAAAUAUUAAUUAUAAUAUUAAUAAAAUACUAAUUUAUCAGUUAUCUAUAUAAUAUCUAAUCUAUUAUUCUAUAUACU
Molecule: ribosomal RNA, 3274 nt
Filed under: Saccharomyces cerevisiae YJM450
Lineage: Eukaryota; Fungi; Ascomycota; Saccharomycetes; Saccharomycetales; Saccharomycetaceae
Description: 21S ribosomal RNA
Rfam family: Bacterial large subunit ribosomal RNA (bases 183-3127)
Source: RNAcentral